Molecule: ribosomal RNA, 406 nt
Filed under: uncultured bacterium
Lineage: Bacteria
Description: bacterial SSU rRNA
Rfam family: Bacterial small subunit ribosomal RNA
Source: RNAcentral
UGGGGAAUUUUCCGCAAUGGGCGAAAGCCUGACGGAGCAACGCCGCGUGGAUGAUGAAGCCUUUCGGGGCGUAAAAUCCUUUCAGCAGGGACGAAAAAAAUGACGGUACCUGCAGAAGAAGCAUCGGCUAACUACGUGCCAGCAGCCGCGGUAAUACGUAGGAUGCAAGCGUUGUCCGGAAUUAUUGGGCGUAAAGCGAACGUAGGCGGUUACUUAAGUUUGGUCUUAAAGACCGGGGCUCAACCCCGGGAAUGGACCGAAGACUGGGUGACUCGAGGAUGUUAGAGGAAAGUGGAAUUCCAGGUGUAGCGGUGAAAUGCGUAGAUAUCUGGAGGAACACCGGUGGCGAAAGCGACUUUCUGGGACAUUUCUGACGCUGAGGUUCGAAAGCUCGGGGAGCAAACAG